This 719-nucleotide ribosomal RNA is filed under the name uncultured bacterium. RNAcentral's name for it is "bacterial SSU rRNA". It matches the Rfam family "Bacterial small subunit ribosomal RNA", at positions 97 to 796 of the family's 1533-position model. The record is from RNAcentral.
GGCGAACGGGUGAGUAACACGUGGGUGAUCUACCUUCGAGUGGGGGAUAACGUCCCGAAAGGGACGCUAAUACCGCAUGACGUUCUGGGUUUGAAGACCUGGAAACCAAAGCCGGGGACCGCAAGGCCUGGCGCUUGGAGAGGAGCCCGCGUCCGAUUAGCUAGUUGGCGGGGUAAUGGCCCACCAAGGCGACGAUCGGUAGCCGGCCUGAGAGGGCGGACGGCCACACUGGAACUGAGACACGGUCCAGACUCCUACGGGAGGCAGCAGUGGGGAAUUGUUCACAAUGGGCGCAAGCCUGAUGACGCAACGCCGCGUGGGGGAUGAAGGUCUUCGGAUUGUAAACCCCUGUCGAACGGGACGAAAGACUCGGGAGCUAAUCAUCUCGAGAGUGACGGUACCGUUAAAGGAAGCCACGGCUAACUCUGUGCCAGCAGCCGCGGUAAUACAGAGGUGGCAAGCGUUGUUCGGAAUUACUGGGCGUAAAGGGCGCGUAGGCGGCCAUCUAAGUCAGACGUGAAAUCCCCCGGCUUAACCUGGGAACUGCGUCUGAUACUGGACGGCUUGAGUAUGGGAGAGGGAUGUAGAAUUCCAGGUGUAGCGGUGAAAUGCGUAGAUAUCUGGAGGAAUACCGGUGGCGAAGGCGGCAUCCUGGACCAUUACUGACGCUGAGGCGCGAAAGCUAGGGGAGCAAACGGGAUUAGAUACCCCGGUAGUCC